RNAcentral lists this ribosomal RNA (253 nucleotides) under uncultured bacterium. Its description in RNAcentral is "partial 16S ribosomal RNA". It matches the Rfam family "Bacterial small subunit ribosomal RNA", at positions 524 to 776 of the family's 1533-position model. The record is from RNAcentral.
UACAGAGGGGGCAAGCGUUGUCCGGAGUUACUGGGCGUAAAGGGUCCGCAGGUGGUUUGACAAGUGUCGUGUGAAAGCCCCGUGCUUAACACGGGGAGGCCACGGCAGACUGUCAGACUCGAGUGAUGCAGAGGGUGGUGGAAUUGCCGGUGUAGUGGUGAAAUGCGUAGAGAUCGGCAGGAACACCCAGGGCGAAAGCAGCCACCUGGGCAUCAACUGACACUGAGGGACGAAAGCGUGGGGAGCGAACCGG